GACUCUCCCUUGUUUCUGAAUCCUUUUCGCAGUUAACUCUUCGGUUGUGGACUUCAGAUCGUUUACCUUGAAAAAAUUAGAGUGUUCAAAGCGGGCGUUUGCUUGAAUACAUUAGCAUGGAAUAAUGGAAUAGGACCCUGGUUCUAUUUUGUUGGUUUUGAGGACCAGAGUAAUGAUUAAUAGGGAUAGUUGGGGGCAUUCAUAUUUAAUUGUCAGAGGUGAAAUUCUUGGAUUUAUGAAAGAUGAACUUUCUGCGAAAGCAUUU
Molecule: ribosomal RNA, 265 nt
Filed under: uncultured eukaryote
Lineage: Eukaryota
Description: partial 18S ribosomal RNA
Rfam family: Eukaryotic small subunit ribosomal RNA
Source: RNAcentral